Molecule: ribosomal RNA, 253 nt
Filed under: uncultured bacterium
Lineage: Bacteria
Description: partial 16S ribosomal RNA
Rfam family: Bacterial small subunit ribosomal RNA
Source: RNAcentral
UACAGAGGUCUCAAGCGUUGUUCGGAUUCAUUGGGCGUAAAGGGUGCGUAGGUGGCAUGGUAAGUCGGAUGUGAAAUCCCGGGGCUUAACCCCGGAACUGCAUUCGAUACUGCUGAGCUAGAGUACUGGAGAGGUGAGUGGAACUCCGAGUGUAGAGGUGAAAUUCGUAGAUAUUCGGAAGAACACCAGUGGCGAAGGCGGCUCACUGGCCCGGUACUGACGCUGAGGUGCGAAAGCGUGGGGAGCAAACAGG